RNAcentral lists this ribosomal RNA (253 nucleotides) under uncultured bacterium. RNAcentral's name for it is "partial 16S ribosomal RNA". It matches the Rfam family "Bacterial small subunit ribosomal RNA", at positions 524 to 776 of the family's 1533-position model. The record is from RNAcentral.
UACAGAGGCCUCAAGCGUUAUCCGGAAUCACUGGGCGUAAAGGGUGCGUAGGUGGCGAUAUUAGUCGUGUGUCAAAGCUCCCCGCACAACGGGGAAAAGGCAUGCGAAACGGUAUCGCUUGAAUCUGUGAGAGGUGUGCGGAACUCUAGGUGUAGGGGUGAAAUCCGUUGAUAUCUAGGGGAACACCGAAUGCGAAGGCAGCACACUGGCACACGAUUGACACUCAAGCACGAAAGCGUGGGUCGCGAAUGGG